AGCGAACGCUGGCGGCAGGCCUAACACAUGCAAGUCGAACGGAUCCUUCGGGAUUAGUGGCGGACGGGUGAGUAACACGUGGGAACGUGCCCUUUGGUUCGGAACAACUCAGGGAAACUUGAGCUAAUACCGGAUGUGCCCUUCGGGGGAAAGAUUUAUCGCCAUUGGAGCGGCCCGCGUCUGAUUAGCUAGUUGGUGAGGUAACGGCCCACCAAGGCGACGAUCAGUAGCUGGUCUGAGAGGAUGAUCAGCCACACUGGGACUGAGACACGGCCCAGACUCCUACGGAAGGCAGCAGUGGGGAAUCUUGCGCAAUGGGCGAAAGCCUGACGCAGCCAUGCCGCGUGAAUGAUGAAGGUCUUAGGAUUGUAAAAUUCUUUCAGCGGGGACGAUAAUGACGGUACCCGCAAAAGAAGCUCCGGCUAACUUCGUG
RNAcentral lists this ribosomal RNA (433 nucleotides) under uncultured bacterium. Its description in RNAcentral is "partial 16S ribosomal RNA". It matches the Rfam family "Bacterial small subunit ribosomal RNA", at positions 29 to 507 of the family's 1533-position model. The record is from RNAcentral.